UACGUAGGCAGCAAGCGUUGUUCGGAGUUACUAGGCGUAAAGGGCAGGUAGGUGGUUUAGUAAGUCUAUUGUGAAAGCUCCCGGCUUAACUGGGAGAGGUCAAUAGAUACUGCUGGACUUGAGUAUAGGAGAGGUUACUGGAAUUCCCGGUGUAGCGGUGAAAUGCGCAGAGAUCGGGAGGAACACCAAUGGCGAAAGCAGGUAACUGGACUAUUACUGACGCUAAGCUGCGAAAGCUAGGGGAGCAAACAGG
RNAcentral lists this ribosomal RNA (253 nucleotides) under uncultured bacterium. RNAcentral's name for it is "partial 16S ribosomal RNA". It matches the Rfam family "Bacterial small subunit ribosomal RNA", at positions 524 to 776 of the family's 1533-position model. The record is from RNAcentral.